GCAGUUUACUGCUCUCACUAUUGGAUGAGCCUGCGUAAGAUUAGCUUGUUGGUGGGGUAAUGGCCUACCAAGGCGACGAUCUUUAGCUGGUCUGAGAGGACGAUCAGCCACAUUGGGACUGAGACACGGCCCAGACAUCUACGGAUGGCAGCAGUUAAGAAUAUUGGACAAUGGGGGCAACCCUGAUCCAGGUAUACCGCGUGUGUGAAGAAGGCCCUAGGGUUGUAAAGCACUUUAAUCAGAGAAGAAGCAUUUUAAGUUAAUACCUUAAUAUGUUGACGUUACCUGAAGAAUAAGGACCGGCUAACUCCGUGCCAGCAGCCGCGGUAAUACGGAGGGUCCAAGCGUUAAUCGGAAUUACUGGGCGUAAAGCGCGCGUAGGCGGUUUAGCAAGUUGUAUGUGAAAGCCCUGGGCUCAACCUAGGAACUGCAUCCAAAACUACUAAGCUAGAGUACGAGAGAGGAGAGUAGAAUUUCUGGUGUAGCGGUGAAAUGCGUAGAUAUCAGAAGGAAUACCAAUGGCGAAGGCAGCUCUCUGGCUCGUCACUGACGCUGAGGUGCGAAAGCGUGGGUAGCAAACAGGAUUAGAUACCCUGGUAGUCCACGCCGUAAACGAUGAGAACUAGCCGUUGGGCAGAUUUAACUGUUCAGUGGCACAGCUAACGCAUUAAGUUCUCCGCCUGGGGAGUACGGCCGCAAGGCUAAAACUCAAAUGAAUUGACGGGGGCCCGCACAAGUGGUGGAGCAUGUGGUUUAAUUCGAUGCAACGCGAAGAACCUUACCAACCCUUGAAAUCUAGCGAAGUUCACAGAGAUGAGAAUGUGCCUUCGGGAACGCUAUGACAGGUGUUGCAUGGCUGUCGUCAGCUCGUGUCGUGAGAUGUAUGGUUAAGUCCAGUAACGAGCGCAACCCCUAUCCUUAUUUGCCAGCGCGUUAAGCGG
RNAcentral lists this ribosomal RNA (941 nucleotides) under marine metagenome. RNAcentral describes it as "bacterial SSU rRNA". It matches the Rfam family "Bacterial small subunit ribosomal RNA", at positions 208 to 1134 of the family's 1533-position model. The record is from RNAcentral.